UUGAGUAACACAAACAUUGGUAAGAAUUCCAUGCCCCGAAAACCUAAGGGUUCCUCCGCAAGGUUCGUCCACGGAGAGUGAGUCAAGGCCUAAGAUUAGGCCGAAAGGCGCAGUCGAUGGACAAAAGGUGAAUAUUCCAAUACUACCCCUUAUUGGUCCCGAGGGACGGAGGAGGCUAGGUUAGCCAAAAGAUGGUUAUCUGUUCAAGGAUGCAAGGUGCCCCUACUUUUUCAGGGUAAGAAGAGGUAGAGAAAAUGCCACGAGCCAAUGUUCGAGUACCAGGAGCUAUGGCACUAAAUUAACCCAUGCUAUACUUAGAGGAAAAACUCAAACAACCUUCAACAAAAGGAUACCUAUACCCAAAACCGACACAGGUGGGUAGGUAGAGAAUACCUAGGGACCCAAUAGUACCCAUUUUUUGGAACGUCCAGUGCCAAUGUCACGGAAUAAGUAAGUCGCCAAUCCCUAAAACGGGCUAUGUAAUGUA
Non-coding RNA from Gossypium raimondii (Peruvian cotton), 487 nucleotides. The record is from Rfam. Lineage: Eukaryota; Viridiplantae; Streptophyta; Magnoliopsida; Malvales; Malvaceae.